Molecule: long non-coding RNA, 3225 nt
Organism: Homo sapiens (human)
Lineage: Eukaryota; Metazoa; Chordata; Mammalia; Primates; Hominidae
Product: long intergenic non-protein coding RNA 1354
Source: Ensembl
GGGCCCUGCUCAGACACCACAUGCGCAGGGCCGACUGCAUUCCCACGGCGACGGCCUCCUGGCCCGCAUCAUGACUGUUGUUUUCCUCGCGGUGGCCAUAGCUUUUGGAUUUUACAUUCAGAUUGGUUCAAGGGGCUUUUUCCUUUCUCUGUUUGAAGGAAGCCACCCUCUCGAUCCCCAGUCAGCGUGGCGUCCUCUCAGCAACCCGCUCCUGGUCUUGCUUUGACUCCUGUGCUCCCGGGCUGCCGAGAACACGUCUGGAGCUUUUAAAUCAGGGUGAGUCCCAGCCGCCGAGGAAGCACUGAACAAAAAGGCCACCGCUGGGGAGCUGCAGGGGCACAGACGGAGCCUGGGAGCGGGGCUGACCAUGGGGAAGAAGGGGAGGUGGGAAAGAAGGCCCGGCCACCUCCACUGCUACAGCCACAGCGACAACAGUAGACAGUGACAGGCCCUGCCUGCCACGCACUGCAGAGUCUGUGGCUCUCCCCUGUUAAGUAAGAGCAGUCGGCGCUGACGUUCAGUGAGGUCAUGAGGAUACUCACAGAACUUUCUGGAAUAAGGGUCAGGCUGCGAAGCAUUCCCCAGACAUUGUAACAUCCAGCCAGUCACUCGUGGCAUUUAGCUUUUAGGUUCAUCUCUGUGAAUAAUCAUCACAAAUAUUUACUGAGCAUCCUUCAUCUCCUGGAAGCCUCGUGGAUUAUCUUGCUGAAUCCUCACCACAGCAGCCCGCUGAGGGAGGUGCUAUCAUCGUCCCUGUUUUUCAAGGGAGAGAAUCAAGGUUUGGGCAGGGACAAGGUCUUGCUAUGUUGCCCAAGCUGAUCUUGAACUCCUGGCCUCAAGCAAUCCCAAUAGUUCGGUCUCCCAAAUUGCUGAGAUUGUGGGUACAAGCCACUGCACCUGGACUUCUUCUGACAUUAUAAAGCAAAGAGCAUUUUCAAAAGCUGAUGCUACUUGUGCAUAUUCCAUAUUUGCUGAGCGCUUACUGUGUCCCCAUUAAGUGCCAGGCACAGUUUUCAGCACUGCUUUAAAGUGUCUACAAGCUUAGAAAGGGCAUAGGCAUCUCUUGAAAUCCAGUGUUCUAGGGAAAGUUUUUCCUGUGGUUUUGCACAGAACCCACCGCUUCCUGUCCAAGGUGACAGCUUUAGCUGGGAGAGAAAUUAAAAAUGCCUCCUUGGAAUAGCUAUCUGAUGUGUCUAAAUAUGAUUGCUGAUGUUAGCAAUAGGACCUGCCUAUUAGCAAUGGUUUGGGCAACUGUAUGUGUGAGGCAGGGAGAGAAAGAGGAAGAAAAUACAGCUCUCACUAUUGUUUCCAAAUGGCAAGACUGGUUUUCCUGCUACCUACUAACCAGUGUAGUUAUUAGUGUUACAUAUCACCUCUGCAUCUUAUUUAUGUAAUAUUCCAAGAAGCUAAAAAAAAAAACCUCUUUUUUUUUUUUUUUUUACAAAUCUUAGAUUUUAUGAACACUUGCUAAUAGCCCCCCCCUCCUAGAUCGUCAUUGCUGUGUAACAAAUUGUCAUACAUUUAGCAGUUUAAAAUACCACACAUUUACUCACAGCUUCCAUGGGCCACGAGUGUGGGGACGAGUGACUGGGUCGUCUGCUCAGGGUCUCUUACAAGACUCCAUCAGCGUUUCAGCUGGGGCUGGGGUCUCAUCUGAGGCUCAGGGUCCUCACUCCAGGUCACAGGGCAGAAUUCAUUUCUUUCAAGCUACGGAUCUCAUGGCAGCUUGCUUUUUCAAGGCCAGCAAGGGAGAGAGUGAAUCUGCUGCUUUUAGUGUCUGACCUCUCGAUCUUCUUUUAAAUGGCUCAUCUGAUUAGGGCAGACCCACCCAGGAUAAUCUCUCUUUUGACUAACUUACAGUCAACUCAUUAGAGAUCCUAAUUACAUCUGCAAAAAUCCCCUCACCUUUGCCUGAUAAUGUGACAUCAUCACGGGGGCAAUAUCCCAUCACUUUUGCCAUAUACUAUUGGCUAGAAGCAAAUUAAGGUCCUGCUACCACUCAAGGGGAGGGGAUUACACAAGGGCAUGGGACAUCAGGGGUCAUCUUAGAAUUCUGGCAACCAGAAUAAGCUACUUGUGGAUAGACAUGUUGUCAUACAUAUUUUUUGUUCAGUCAUUAUGCUUAGCAGAGAAAUAGGCACACAGCAGAAAAAUAACUGAUUGGUACGGAGAAUUUAGUGAUUGGAAACGAAUUAAUAUUGUUAAGACACAAAGUUUCUUGCAGAGCACACUCUGAAAAAGGUCACUUUUUACCCCUCAAUAUGUCUUAAUGGGUUGAGGUAGAGAGAAGCGUGGGUAGGUAUCAAUCACGAGAGCACACAGGCUAAAAGAAAGAAAAAAUGAGCUGGGACAUCUAAGUUCAACUUCCACUUCCUCCUAUACAAGCUGGGUGACCUUUUCCUAUCUAGAAAGUGGGAGAAGUAGUUCCUGUCCUCCCUUACAGGGCUGCUGAGCAGGCAGAAUGAGAUGAUGGGCUGAGAGGGCUUGGAGAGGACAAACUGUGGGUACAAAAGUCUUAUUGUCCUGGCCCGGAUUGCUAAGGAGAUGGUGGUUAAUAAUAUGCUGCUAUCUCAUGAGGUAAAUGCGUGAUCACAUAGCCAAGAGAUGCCUUUUUGUUCUAAUGAUCACUGUAAGACCUUCUUGAGAGACAGUCCAAGUCUCUCCAGCACAAUGGAAAAUUGCAUUUUCUAUGCACACAUUCGAGGGGAAAGAGACCCCUCCAACGUUCUUCUCAGUUUUACCCCAAAGUUGAGUUCUGGGUCAAAAAUCUCUCAAGCGUCCUCCACAGCUGACUUCCACAGUCCCCUGUGUGUCUCUGCAAGGAACACAAAGGAAGUGAGAUAGUGGGAAGUCUGGGGCCAUCUUCGGUCACGUGAGAAUUCCCUCUCAGUUAGCCGGGGCGUGCAGCCGCACAGAAGGAAGGCAGCCACGCAGCUCCAGUCCAGGCUGGGAGAGAGCUUUGUAGAUCCAUCUCCCACUGAGCAGGCUUCCCUCCUGCAAGGAGAGACUCUACCGAUAAUGUGUUAAGAUCAGAUUAAUGCAGGAAAUACACAUGAAAUAAAUAAUAACAGUGUAAUAACAGUGGCUGUCAUUGCAAUGGUUAUUUCUGUUAAAAAUGUGAGAUCUACACUACGGAUUUCUUAGGAUAAUUUUGCCCUUACUUAAAAGAAACUGACAGAUGUACUUUAUAAAAAUGAAAAUAAUUUAACAAAUAAAGAAUUGGAG